GGGGCCUUAGCUCAGCUGGGAGAGCGCCUGCUUUGCACGCAGGAGGUCAGCGGUUCGUCCCCUCUAGGCUCCA
RNAcentral lists this transfer RNA (73 nucleotides) under Clostridium sp. RNAcentral's name for it is "tRNA-Ala". It matches the Rfam family "tRNA". From Rfam's summary of the family: Transfer RNA (tRNA) molecules are approximately 80 nucleotides in length. Their secondary structure includes four short double-helical elements and three loops (D, anti-codon, and T loops). Lineage: Bacteria; Bacillati; Bacillota; Clostridia; Eubacteriales; Clostridiaceae. The record is from RNAcentral. RNAcentral also lists the same sequence under 2 other names.